AUAUUUUUAUUACAAUAAAUAUAUUUGACUUCCAAUCAAAAGAUCCUCUCAAUGGAAAAUAUA
RNAcentral lists this transfer RNA (63 nucleotides) under Dicranocentrus wangi. RNAcentral's name for it is "tRNA-Gly". Lineage: Eukaryota; Metazoa; Arthropoda; Collembola; Entomobryomorpha; Entomobryidae. The record is from RNAcentral.